Molecule: ribosomal RNA, 429 nt
Filed under: Gemmatimonadota bacterium
Lineage: Bacteria; Pseudomonadati; Gemmatimonadota
Description: Gemmatimonadetes bacterium partial 16S ribosomal RNA
Rfam family: Bacterial small subunit ribosomal RNA
Source: RNAcentral
UAGGGAAUCUUCGGCAAUGGACGAAAGUCUGACCGAGCAACGCCGCGCGAGUGAAGAAGGUUUUCGGAUCGUAAAACUCUGUUGUUAGAGAAGAACAAGGACGUUAGUAACUGAACGUCCCCUGACGGUAUCUAACCAGAAAGCCACGGCUAACUACGUGCCAGCAGCCGCGGUAAUACGUAGGUGGCAAGCGUUGUCCGGAUUUAUUGGUCGUAAAGCGAGCGCAGGCGGUUUCUUAAGUCUGAUGUGAAAGCCCCCGGCUCAACCGGGGAGGGUCAUUGGAAGCUGGGAGACUUGAGUGCAGAAGAGGAGAGUGGAAUUCCAUGUGUAGCGGUGAAAUGCGUAGAUAUAUGGAGGAACACCAGUGGCGAAGGCGGCUCUCUGGUCUGUAACUGACGCUGAGGCUCGAAAGCGUGGGGAGCAAACAGG